CAGCACUUUUGAAACAAGAUUCAGUUGUGUUUUCAUUUCCUUUUAUUUCAUUUGGACUUUGUUUGAAGUCAUGAGGGAGUGAAAUAUGCCAGCUGCACUCUUCUGCACGUGUUUUAUAUACAGAAGCUUCAGAAGCGCUUCUAGAGUUUCAGAGAUUCAACUGAUAUAUAAAUUGGGAGAGGAGGGGCAGGCUCUGGGAGGCAAGUACAGAGAGCACAGGAUGGAAGAACAAUUUGGCAGAAAGGCAGAAGCUGUACCAUGUGCUAGUCACUGAACAUCACAAUCUGAACCAGAAAACAUAAGCCAACUGUGUAUGUGUAGUGGUACAUAUAUUUUAUGUAUAUAGGUUUGGGAUUGUUAAAUGAAAGAAAUUAUUGCAUGAUGGUUGCGCUGAGUUUCAGCUGCAUGUCUUUUAAUUCUAGCGUUUCAGGGAUGUGUCUUACUUGUCUCCAAACCCGAAUUGAUGCAGGAAGUCCUCUGCCAGAAAUUAUUCCAGUUUUGAUAUUUCAAAUUCCAGCAAUAUACCGCUUGGAAAUGUAUCCUGCCAAAGGCAUUUACAUGUUAUUGCCAUUGUCCAUCACAUUCUGUGUCUGUAUGAUCUGUAUUUGUUAGUGAAUUUAAUAUGUAUCCCUUAUGUUACUUCAUAGCCUUGGGAAUCUCAGUCUUUCUGCAGUAAUUUUCCUCAUGAGGUUGUCUGUGCAGAUUCUUGGGGCCAGUCCUUGCUGGUUUCUACAGAUGCUGGCAUCUUGUUAACAGAUGGUUGGUAAAUGAUCUCGUGUUCUUGUGUAUCUGACCAUUUUCCUGAGAAUGUUUGUUUAUGUACCUGACCAUUUUCUUCCGUCAGCGCCUCCCUGCUCUCGUCUCCUGAAUCUCCAGCAGAGGAGUUCCAGUCCAUCCGGGUACGUGUCAUCCAGUUCCUGGUGAUCUGAACACACCGAGCAGCACUCAGCUGCUGUGGGGGGCUCAGGGAAGGCAGAGUGUGCGUUCUCAUCUUCCUGAACCUACAGACAAAGCAAAGUGAGAAGCCACAGGGUGGAAAUCAGUCGCAUAGAUGCUAAAUAAAACUUGCAGAUGUUUUUAAGAAUUGUUUCUGCUUGUUCUUUGUUGUGCUUCUGUGCUUAGAAAACAUCCCUUUAAAAUCAGUUCAAUUCACCAGUUGAAAGUUUUUUUGCAGACCCUCCCUGAGCAGAAUUUGUUGCAGACUCGGUGCACGCUGUGCUGGCCUCCUAGGAGUGUGAGGAGCUCGUGUGUGCUACUUUCUGCUUUAGGACACUCUGAGGUAUUUGUUCCUUUUGGGAUACAGGAUGAGAAUUCCCAAGAGAGGUAGUUAUAAGGUAUGACCUUGGGAAAAAGCCUGUGUCGUUGGAAUGUUGUUGUUGUCAAAAGUUAAUUUUUUCUUAGCCAGUAGUUAGCUUUUUGCUUGAUUUUUGUGGUAUCAAUAUUUUAUUAUUUUUAAAAAUGGCUUCAAAAUAACUUCAGUGGAUGGCCACCAGUACCUUGUUCAGAUUUGCCUACUUGCUUGUAGCUAAAAUGUUUACAUAUUGUUGAUCAUUGUAUUGAAGAAACUGCUGCCCAGUCAGCUAAUAACUGAAUAUCUCUGUCUAGGACGUAGGGAGAGGAUUUAGGCAAUGUCUUUGUUUUCAGAAAAAAGUUCCACUGUGGUUUCUAAGUAGAGGAAAAGGGGGUGAAGACUCGGGGCUCGGAUGCCACUGGGGGCACCCCAAGGUCCCCCAGGAGAGGGAGCCCCACUGCGGGGCAGGAGCAGAUAAAGAUAUUUAGAAAAACACAACCGAACGCCGCCGCCUUCGGCCGAAUGGAACGAGCUCAGCCGAGCCAAGGCGAGCGCAGCCGAACCUGACGGCCUCGAGCGAACCGAGGCGAGGCUUACGAGGCUGCCUGAAGCGAGCCGAGCUCAGCCGAACCGAGCCUGCUGCUGUGGUGCGCGCUAAUUAGCGCGAGUGCGGUCACAGCCUAAUGAGCUCCUGUCCCCGCCCGCGCUCCCGGUCGUGUCCGUGCGAUGGCCGGGCCGCCCGCGGGACGCGGCAGCAGGAGAGCCCCGAGCUGGGCGAGUUUAACGUGAGGCGGCGCCGCUUGCCCGCCCUCAGGGAGCCGAGCCGCGCCGCGGAGAACGCACCGAGCGGCUCCGAGUGUCUCCGCAGCGAGCCGAGGCGCGCCGACCACGCAGAGCGGCUCCGAGUGUCUCCGAAGCGAGCCGAGGCGCGCCGAACACACCGAGCGGCUCCGAGUGUCUCCGAAGCGAGCCGAGGCGCGCCGAACACAUCGAGUGUCUCCGAAGUGAGCCGAGGCGCGCCGAACGCGCCGAGCGGCUCCGAGUGUCUCCGAAGCGAGCCGAGGCGCGCCGAAGAGGCGAAUGCAGCCGACAAUAGCCGAGUUUAGGCGCUAAUAGCUGAAUCUAGCCAACAGCCGACUCUAGCCGAGUGUCUCCGGAGCGAGCCGAGUUCGGCCGAGCGCAGCAUCCCGGGCAGGGCGAGGCGCCGGGCCGGGCUCGGGCUGCAGCCGGGGCUCUGAACGCAGGAAACUCCGACUAGAGAUGGGUAGCAGUUUUGAAGAUAUUGCCGUAACGUUUUUAUCUAGGAAUGGACCAAGCUGUGCCCUGAAACCAUCAGAAGCGCUGCAGGGGCUGAAGGCAAUAGAAAGGGCUGUCUGGCACCUUUUGCCUCCGUUCUCUGCCAGUCCCCAAAUCGUGUCGCAGCCCCGGAAGAGGCGCUUGUCAUCCCGAGGGCCAAAACAAAGACCUGUAAAAUCCCA
Long non-coding RNA from Camarhynchus parvulus, 2769 nucleotides. RefSeq lists it as uncharacterized. The record is from RefSeq and is a predicted model, not a curated record. The transcript is spliced from 3 exons. Lineage: Eukaryota; Metazoa; Chordata; Aves; Passeriformes; Thraupidae.